GACGAACGCUGGCGGCGUGCUUAACACAUGCAAGUGGAGCGACGAACCAGGCUUCGGCCUGGGGCAAAGCCGCGAACGGGUGAGUAACACGUGGGUAACCUGCCCCGACGACCGGGACAACUCGAGGAAACUCGAGCUAAUACCGGAUGUGCUCUCCUCGCAUCAGCGAGGUGAGGAAAGGAAGCUUCGGCCUCCGCAUCGGGAUGGGCCCGCGGCCCAUUAGCUUGUUGGGAGGUAACGGCUCACCAAGGCUUCGAUGGGUAGCUGGUCUGAGAGGACGAUCAGCCACACUGGGACUGAGACACGGCCCAGACUCCUACGGGAGGCAGCAGUGGGGAAUCUUGCGCAAUGCGCGAAAGCGUGACGCAGCAACGCCGCGUGGGGGGAAGAAGGGCUUUCGGGUUGUAACCCCUUUCAGGAGGGACGAAGCCUGGUCGGUGAAUAGCCGAGCCAGGUGACGGUACC
RNAcentral lists this ribosomal RNA (465 nucleotides) under uncultured bacterium. RNAcentral's name for it is "bacterial SSU rRNA". It matches the Rfam family "Bacterial small subunit ribosomal RNA", at positions 28 to 479 of the family's 1533-position model. The record is from RNAcentral.